This 1028-nucleotide long non-coding RNA is filed under the name Equus asinus (donkey). RNAcentral describes it as "lncRNA (ENSEASG00005024186.1)". Lineage: Eukaryota; Metazoa; Chordata; Mammalia; Perissodactyla; Equidae. The record is from RNAcentral.
ACCUACAACAGGCAGUAGAGAACUACUAACAGGAGGCGUUACAGAAACACCUGGGAAACGGGGCUGUUGACGGCUGAAAGGGAGGAGGGAUUAUUUUUUAGGCUGAAACUAAUGAGUUCUACACACUGAUGCUGCGAUGUUAACUUCCACUCCUUUCUCAUUCGCCGUCCUCCCCUUCUGCAGCUUUGAAGGACUGUGAAAUGCAGACCCAAGUACCCACUGCACAAAAGAAGGCUCUGACACAGGAACUCCUUCCCAGAAGGUUGAGGAAUGUCAUGUGGUUGCAGGAGGAAAUGCGCUAGACCUGGAGUCAGAGGAGGUGAAACCCAGAGGUGGUAAAAAUGCCCAGGUAUGUUUGAGGCAGCAGAGAAGACUGCCGGGAGAGUGGAGAAGGCUGAAGUCUUACUUAAGAAACUCAGCAUGUGGUCCUGUCCCACACGGUUUAGGCAGCAGCAAGCUGCUGUUGGACAGUGAAAUGAGUUAACACACACCAAGGUCAUAGCGAGGGGUGCACGACACACUAGGAAAUUCCAGUGCCGUAAUUCCAGAGGAGAGAAGUCCCACGCAGCCUCGGAGACCUGGAGAUGGGGCAGCUCCUCCUGACGUCCCAGUUCUCAGCAGGGCUGCCAGGACUCAGACACUUUCUUUCAACCACCAAAGGGUUUCCACAGAAAGGUGACUGCAACAAGUAGCCAGGGUGGAGGGCCCCUGCAGGAGCUCAUGACAUGGGGCGGGCAGCAUCAGAAGCACCGAGCGAGUCAGUGGACAGCCAAGCAUCACCCACUCAGUCACACCCUCGACCUGAGUCCAGCUGGUGUCCUCUGUGCCCGUCUUCCCAGGUGUCACAUGUGCUGACUCUUCCUCCUGAGAGACCCCAGAGGAGAGAGACCCCAGAAGAGAGAGACGCUGGAGGGGCUGUGGCUUGCGCUAAAAUGUGGAGAAAUGUACUAGACAGGGUUACUCUAGCACAAAAAGAAACUCACUUUCUUGUUGCAAAAGAGCGUCCCCUUUUUGUUUUUCAUUGUUAA